CAGCAGCCGCGGUAAAACAGAGGGUGCGAGCGUUAAUCGGAUUUACUGGGCGUAAAGCGUGCGUAGGCGGCUAAUUGAGUCGGAUGUGAAAUCCCCGAGCUUAACUUGGGAAUUGCAUUCGAUACUGGUUAGCUAGAGUGUGGGAGAGGAUGGUAGAAUUCCAGGUGUAGCGGUGAAAUGCGUAGAGAUCUGGAGGAAUACCGAUGGCGAAGGCAGCCAUCUGGCCUAACACUGACGCUGAGGUACGAAAGCAUGGGGAGCAAACAGGAUUAGAUACCCCGGUAGUCCCUGUCUCUUAUAC
Molecule: ribosomal RNA, 301 nt
Filed under: uncultured bacterium
Lineage: Bacteria
Description: partial 16S ribosomal RNA
Rfam family: Bacterial small subunit ribosomal RNA
Source: RNAcentral